Molecule: microRNA precursor, 103 nt
Filed under: Marmota monax (woodchuck)
Lineage: Eukaryota; Metazoa; Chordata; Mammalia; Rodentia; Sciuridae
Source: RNAcentral
ACAUGGAUCACUGGGAUCUUGCUAAAAUGCAGAUUCAGAUGCACUAAGUCUGGUGUGGGACCUGAGAGUCUGCAUUUCUAAUUAACUCCCAAGUGGUGCCAAU